This is a long non-coding RNA of Syngnathoides biaculeatus (alligator pipefish), 1327 nucleotides long. RefSeq lists it as uncharacterized. The transcript is spliced from 2 exons. The record is from RefSeq and is a predicted model, not a curated record. Lineage: Eukaryota; Metazoa; Chordata; Actinopteri; Syngnathiformes; Syngnathidae.
AAAAGCCCAAUUUUGGGGGGCUUGGAACACAUUAUUUCUUUUUCCAUUCAUUGUAAUGGGAAACAUCGAUUCGGUUUUCGAACAAAUCACUUCUCGAACCGUUGUGGUCGAGAACCGAGGCAUCAGUUCGUGUAUUAGUUUGGCACCUUUUUGCGAUGUCUUGUUGCUGUUGGGUUUAAUUCAUUCAUCGAUGGUCUUUUUCAAGCCACGUUUGAGAUGUCCUUUUUUUUUUUGGGGGCAGUCCUUUAACGCACCACGUGAGAGUGAACUUCAAAGUUUGCGUUCGCUUUGUUCUCGAUGCGGUUACGAAUCGCCAGGAUCGUCUCCUUUGCCUGACAGUUUGCCUUUAUCCCCUAAUAUUUAUGGUAAUAUUGCGCGAGAAUGCCAAAAGGCUGAUGCGACCCACGCUGGUCUCGCCGUCCGUGGUUUGCUCCAGCAGCCCGUUGUCCUCGGCCAGGUGGUACACCGGGUUGCCUUUGCCGCCAUGGAUCCAGGUGGCCCCAAGCUCCAAAGCGCUUUCGCCUGCAAGUCGACGCGCAGGGAUGAAAACGACACCAGAAGCGCCGACUUUUAACGACUGGCCGACUCUCACUUUGGCAAAUAUACGAGCGGUGAGGAAGCGAGAUCCGGGCGGCCUCUACCAAGCCAUACCAAGGAAGUAUGGCGCUCGUGCACCUACGUCAUCAAAUCACAUGACUUUGGGUUACCUCGCCAUAUUGCCGGUCAAGCUAAGCAUCGCUCGAUGCUAAGUCGGUUGGAGACGACACGAAAAUACGCCUUGUAGCACGACGCCCCAGAGUCUUGUCCGACACCGUCAGACGUUUAGAAGGUGAAAAUAAACGACGGUACGUGGCAAAAUGAGAUAAACUCGGCACAGAGGACCCCUAUUUAAUGCCGAAGUCGACGUUUUCGCCGAUAAGAAAUUGGACCGUUAAUUUGCUUUCUCUUGUCUUGGACAACUGGAUCGACACGUAUCUGGUGAGUAAGUCGUCGGGAUUUACACACAAAAGUUUGAAAGCGUGUAAAAGUCUGGACGUCUGGAGUCUUGUCUGUUGUGUGUCUCGGGUUGUUAUAAAUGUUCUUCUCCGGUUCAAUGUCGAAUGUCGAGCAGGUCCGUUUGACCGGCAAUAUGGCGCCGUGAAAAAGGUGACGUCACGUGCACGAGCUCUAUACACUGUAUGUACACUAGAUUUCUUUUACAAUAAUACUUAACCAAAUGUAUAAUUUCAUAAUGUACGUGACUGCAGAUGGGAAAAGCGAAGUGUGUAGAGUCUGAUGUUUAAAAUGCGUCUGACCUUUUUGCAAAUAAAAUCUAUGUAUCCUGGUA